GAGACCCCGAGGCUCGGCUCCCAGAAGCCCUUGCACUCGACGCGGCGGCGGCGGCGGCGGCGGCGGCGGCGGCGGAGGAGGAGUGGUGGCCGCACAUCCUAGCAGUGGGGCGUAGAGAAAGUGCGCGCCGCCGUCCCACCCACCGAAGGAGGAGCCUGUGCCUGCGACAAGCCCUGGAUUUUAGUUGCGCUUGCGGUGGCCAUGCUGUAGGUACUCUGCGGCCCGUAGACCUCCGUGUGUGCAAAGGGACGACCCCUCAUUCAUUCAUUCUUCACGCGUGCGUGCAUGCAUACAUUCUUAAGGAUAUAAACUGUGUCAAGUACCAUUUUAGAUACAUUAUUGGGGCUACAACAGUGCAAAAAAGUUGGUAAAAAUCGCAGCCUUGUUAAGUGUACGGAGAAGCUCACGUUUUCUUCAGCUUCAUUAACUUUUAUAUGCUCUGCUCGUUUUAUUUCAAGCUUUUUGUCAUUUAUAAUUUUAUAUUCUAUAACAUCUGCGGUUUUUUGUUUUUGUUUUUCUGUUUUUGGGGGGUUUUUUUUGAGACGGAGUCUGGCGCUGUCACCAGGCUGGAGUGCAGUGAUGCGAUCUCGGCUCACUGCAACCUCCGCCUCCCAGGUUCAAGCGAUUCUCCUGCCUCAGCCUCCCAAGUAGCUGGGACUACAGGCAUGCGCCACCACGCCCAGCUAAUUUUUGUAUUUUUAGUAGAGACCAGGUUUCACCGUGUUGGCCAGGAUGGUCUUGAUCUCUUGACCUCCUGAUCCGCCCGCCUCAGCCUCCCAAAGUGUUGGGAUUACAGGCAUGAGCCACCACACCCAGCCACAUGAGUGUAUUUUUGACAGCAAUGUAGUCACCAAUAAACGAGUAACUUCAGUUAAAGUACUGUAGAUUAUAAUACACAGCCCUGUAAUCUACCCUGGAGUUCAACAAACGGUAUUGAAAACAGACUGUGUUCCAGAUGCAAUAGGAAGAGAAUAAAUAAGAUAAACAAUACAUAAAUCCUGCCCAGAAGACGUUUGCAAUUUUUUAAGAGGAAAAACAUGAAGACAAAUUGUUUUAAGAUGUUUGCUAUUUUCAAUAGUUGAAAAAUAAACAGGAGAGAAGGGAUUAUUUAACUGUGGGUAUGUAGGGCUGAGAAAGGCACGCUUGACAAAGGAAACCUGGGCAGUGUUACCAGAAAGCGUUGCCAAUCAUGAGUCCAUAUAGUGAAGUGAAAGCAAGUUUAUUAAAGAAGUAAAGAAACAAAAGAAUGGCUACUCCAUAGGCAGAGCAGUGGCUUGGGCUGCUGGACUGAGUAUAUAGUUUUUUUGUGUGUUGUUUGUUUGUUUUGACACGGAGUCUUGCUCUGUCGCCCAGGCUGGAGUGCAGUGGCGCCAUCUCGGCUCACUGCAAGCUCCGCCUCCCGGGUUCACGCCAUUCUCCUGCCUCAGCCUCCCGAGUAGCUGGAAAUUUAUUGUAUUUUUAGUAGAGACAGGGUUUCACCGUGUUAGCCAGGAUGGUCUCAAUCUACUGACCUGGUGAUCCUCCUGGCUCGGCCUCCCAAAGUGCUGGGAUUACAGGCGUGAGCCACCGCGCCCAGCCAGUUAUUUCUUAAUUAUAUGUUAAACAAGGGGUGGAUUAUUCAUGAGUUUUCAAGGAAGGGGGCAGGCAAUUUUUGGAACUUAGGGUUCUACCCUCUUUUAGACUGUAUGACUUCUGGAUGUUGCCAUGGCAUUUGUAAACUGUCAUGGUGCUGGUGGGAGUGUCUUUUAGCAUGCUAAUGCAUUAUAAUUCACGUAUAAUGAGAAGUGAGGAUGACCAGAGGUCACUUUUGUCUUCAUCUUGGUUUUGGUGGGUUUGGCCUGUCUUCUUUACGACAUCCUGUUUAUCAGCAGGGUCUUUGUGACCUGUAUCUUGCGUGGACCUCCAAUCUUCUGUGACUAAGAAUGCCUAACCUCCUGGGAAUGCAGCUCAGUAGGUCUCAGCCUCGUUUUACCCAGCACCUGUUCAAGUUGGAGUCACUCUGGUUCAAACGCCUCUGACAACAGGACUAUUGGAGUACUGAUAGGAGUUUAUUUGCCUUAAUCACCUGGCCACCCUAUCCCUUUCUUAUUUCCUCCCUACUCCUCCGUCCUGGGAGACUGAAUUCAAAUAGACAAUGGCCAGAGAAUAUAUACAAAUAGAACACUAACCUACAACCUUCAACAACCAGUCCAGGAAGGCAACCUACUAUGUCCAGUAACCAGUCCAAGAAAUCAGAUUACUAUAUUUAGCAACCAGUCCAGGAAGCCAAGCAAUAACCCUUGUAGCAAUCUACCCCAAAUGGCCAGGACGUGAUUAAUAACUUACAGCUUCUGUAAGUUUUGUCAGGGCUUCCAACUCAAGGCCAGCUAGAGAGAGCCAAAUAUCUACCCACCCCUAAAUAAUUACAUAGGAUGCCCUGCUUUUAGUUAGCCCACCUGCAGCUUCUCCAUGCCAACAGCCUUGAAUUGGCAUACCUGAAGCUUUCCCUUUUUUCCACUCUAAAGCUUUCUCACUCCUCUGCCUGCCGUUGAGUCUCUGACAAAUGCAAGUGAUGAUGGCUGACUCCCUUGCUAUUGUAAGCUCCAAAUAAAUUUGGCUUUGCUUGUUCUCAUUUAGAUGGUCUGCACUUGUUUCUAUACUCCUGAAGAAGAUUCCUGCUAUCUGGACAUGCCUUCCCUCUGGAUAGAUAUGGCAGAAGAGAUGAUAAUGGUGUCUUUUAGACCUCUGCUCAGCAGGGUCUAGGUCCCGGCUUUUCAUAUCCAGGAAAGAACUGGAGGAAUAGGAUUGGUAUCAAGAUGCUGACUUCAUUAGUUGUAUGCAAUGCCAACCACAGCAACUUCCUACCAAGACCUGACCUUCUAUGGCAUCUUUCCCAAUCUGCCUGUCAAA
This 2889-nucleotide long non-coding RNA is filed under the name Homo sapiens (human). Its description in RNAcentral is "non-protein coding lnc-ZUFSP-4:1". The record is from RNAcentral. Lineage: Eukaryota; Metazoa; Chordata; Mammalia; Primates; Hominidae.